AACGAACGCUGGCGGCAUGCCUAACACAUGCAAGUCGAACGAGACCUUCGGGUCUAGUGGCGCACGGGUGCGUCACGCGUGGGAACCUGCCCUUAGGUUCGGAAUACCUCCCCGAAAGGGGUGCUAAUACCGGAUAAUGUCUUCGGACCAAUGAUUUAUCGCCUUUGGAUGGGCCCGCGUUGGAUUAGCUCGUUGGUAGGGUAAAAGCCUACCAAGGCGACGAUCCAUAGCUGGUCUGAGAGGAUGAUCAGCCACACUGGGACUGAGACACGGCCCAGACUCCUACGGGAGGCAGCAGUGGGGAAUAUUGGACAAUGGGCGAAAGCCUGAUCCAGCAAUGCCGCGUGAGUGAUGAAGGCCUUAGGGUUGUAAAGCUCUUUUACCCGGGAUGAUAAUGACAGUACCGGGAGAAUAAGCUCCGGCUAACUCCGUG
RNAcentral lists this ribosomal RNA (433 nucleotides) under uncultured bacterium. RNAcentral describes it as "partial 16S ribosomal RNA". It matches the Rfam family "Bacterial small subunit ribosomal RNA", at positions 29 to 507 of the family's 1533-position model. The record is from RNAcentral.